UAGUAACGGCGAGUGAAGCGGCAACAGCUCAAAUUUGAAAUCCGGCUUCGGCCCGAGUUGUAAUUNGUAGAGGAAGCUUGUGGUGCGGCACCUCACAAGUCCCCUAGAACGGGGCNCCAUAGAGGGUGAGAGCCCCGUAUCGUAGGACGCCAAUCCUCUGUAAAGCUCGUUCCAAGAGUUGAGUAGUUGAGGAAUGCUGCUUUAAAUGGGAGGUAAAUUUCUUCUAAAGUUAUAUAUUGGCCAGAGUCCUAUAGCGCACAAGUAGAGUGAUGGAAAGAUGAAAAGCACUAUGAAAAGAGGGUUAAACAGCACGUGAAAUUGUUGAAAGGGAAGCGCUUGUGCCCAGACUUGCGCCGGGUUGAUCAUCCGGAGUUCUCUCCGGUGCACUCUGCCCGGCUCAGACAGCAUCGGUUCUCGCAGGGGGAUAAAGGCCCUGGGAACGUAGCUCCUCCGGGAGUGUUAUAGCUCAGGGUGCAAUGCCCUCGCGGGGACCGAGGAUCGCGCUUAGCAAGGAAAUAGGCUAAUGGUCUCCAGCGACC
Molecule: ribosomal RNA, 539 nt
Filed under: uncultured fungus
Lineage: Eukaryota; Fungi
Description: eukaryotic LSU rRNA
Rfam family: Eukaryotic large subunit ribosomal RNA
Source: RNAcentral